UUGACAGAAGAGAGUGAGCACACAGAGACACUCGUUAUAACUCUAUACCGUUGUAUUUGUGUGCUCACUCAUCUUUCUGUCAA
RNAcentral lists this microRNA precursor (83 nucleotides) under Trifolium pratense (red clover). RNAcentral describes it as "pre miRNA mir-156". It matches the Rfam family "mir-156 microRNA precursor family". From Rfam's summary of the family: This family represents the plant microRNA (miRNA) precursor mir-156. Lineage: Eukaryota; Viridiplantae; Streptophyta; Magnoliopsida; Fabales; Fabaceae. The record is from RNAcentral.